RNAcentral lists this long non-coding RNA (5695 nucleotides) under Heterocephalus glaber (naked mole-rat). Its description in RNAcentral is "lncRNA (ENSHGLG00000041002.1)". Lineage: Eukaryota; Metazoa; Chordata; Mammalia; Rodentia; Bathyergidae. The record is from RNAcentral.
CCCCGUACAAAAAAAAAAAAAAAAAAAGAACAAAAUGGCAAAAAUCGCUUUCUGUCUUGGAUCAUUGGGUGCAGCCUUACUAGGAAGUGAGCAUUAUAUAUCUGAAUCCAUUAAUUUAUGCAUCUAAUGUGUGGAGGCAUUGUUCAAGGCAUUGGAGUAUUCAGGGAAUAAACAAAACAAAACAAAAAAAUCCCCUCAGCCAGGCAUGGUGGCACAUUUCUGUAAUCCCUGUGCUCAGGAGGCUGAGACAAGAGAAUCACAAGGUUUUGAUUUUGGCUUGUUGUGGUGGUGGUGGGUUUUUUGUUUGUUUGUUGGCUUCUUUUGAGACAGGGUCUUGCUAUGUAGUUCAAGGUGGCCUUGAACUCACUAUGUAGUUCAGGGUAGGUUUUUUUUUUUAUUACAUUUAAGCAAAGAUUUGAAAGUGGGAUUAGUCGUGUGCAUGCGUAUCUAGGGGAAGAAAGUGCCAGGCUAAGGGAACAGCUCCACGAAGGCCCUUUGUUGGGAGCAUACCUGGCGGGUCUGAGGGACAGGGAGACUGAUGUAGCUGGGGCAGAGUGGUAGGCAGUAGGCGAUGAGUUCUGACAGUGGAGCAAGAGGAGUGGCAUGUGUUGUAGGGCCUCCUAGAAACCUAACAUAGUACCUGCCCAUAGCAGAUGCUCAACAAAUGCUCAGCCAGUCAUCUCUUAUCAGAUAGCAUUUAUCUGAGUAUUUAUUAAUUGUGUGUGUGUUGUUUAUUCCAGGGUCUUCUCAGUAGUUCUUCUAUAUACAUAAGAGUAUGAAAUUCACUGGGCAGUGGGCAUUAGGGAUGAAAGUGAACAUUGCAUUCUUACAACUGGAAGCAGGAAACUAGUAUAAAACAUCAUGGGGCCAGGGAUUUAGCUCAGUGGUUCUGCCGUCGCCUGCCUCACAAGUGCAAGGCCCCAAGUUCGAUCCCCAGUACCACUUCCCCCCCCAAAAUUAAACAUUGUGGCUGGUGAAUGACUGUACUAGGCAUUUCCUUUUUUUUUUUUUUUUUUUUUUAAGACAGGGCCUUGCUAUGUAGUCCAGCUGGCCUUGAACUAUGUAGCACAGGCUGGCUGGCCUUGAACCCUCAGCAAUCCUCCUGCCUCAGCUUCCCAAGUGCUGGGAUGACAGGUGUGUGCAACCAUACCUGGCAAAAGGAGCAGCUUCAAUGAUAGCUUUCUUUUACCUUUCAGCCCAAGUGCCCCUACAUUAUUUCUCACAGGUGGCAGUGAUACAACACUAAUUCGAUGUCAAGCAGCUAUGGGGUUUGUGCCUAAGGGAUCUCCAAUACUGUAAGUCCUACAUGCUUGCAUUUGAUAGGAGUUGGUUGAACGAAGGAAUGACUGAUCCACCUUCAGCCUAUUUUCCAUAGCCUCCAACAUGCAAGCUUUCCAAGAACUCUGACCACAGAAAUAUCACCCCCACCACAGAGGAAGGCACAGAGGGAGAGAUAGGGACUCACGGUAGACUAUCAGCAGGCUUUGGAGGGGCAGGAGGGAAGCCACAGGGAAGGGGUAUGUGGGACAUGUGGGAUAUGCAAGAUAUGCAAACAUUCUUGGCUCUUUAAGUCCAGGAAAUGAAACAGCAGUGGCUGUGUUAGCCCCAAGCUACAUAAUCUGCUGUUUCCAGCUUUGGCUGGAGAUAAGACAUCCCUGGGCUGAGCUCUCCUGGGUCCACAGAGAAAAUAAAUGGGCAAGUGAGGGAAUGUUUCAAAACAACGACUGCCUCAAAAUCCCCAAACAUAUGCGAUGGAUCAAACAUCCUAGAUGGAUCAGUCGAGUCAUCUUUCCGUAUGAAGAGAAGACAUACUUGACUUUCUCAGCCUAAAAAGGACUCAACCACUUUUUGUGUGUAUGGUUCUGGGGAUUGAACCUAGAGCCUUACACAUUCUAGGUAAGGGUCCUAUCACUGAGCUACAUCCCUGGCCCCUCAACCACAUUUCUUUCAUCGUUAUGUCCAUAAAUAGAAAUCUGAGAACUAAACCUUGCUGGGUUCCUUUGAACAGCAGCAUAUCACACUUAGUGCCGUAUUUACCCUCAGCACUGUUUUUGGUCUUCAGGAUUGAACCCAGGGCCUUCACACUGAGCUACAAGCCCAGCCUUCGUUAUUUUUAGUUUGAGACAAAGCUCGCAAAGCUGCUAAAUUGCCCAUGCCAGCACUUUGAGUUUGAGAUCUUCCUGCCUCAGCCUCAGGAUUACAAUUAUGCACCUGUGUUCUGGGAUCGGCUUCAGCUCAUGUACAAAAGUUCACCUAGGUUGCUGUGUUUCACUGCCUUUCCAUUUUCUUCAGGCCUAGGUUUGAUGGAAGCGUCAGUUCAUGCCGUGGAGACCUUCCUAUGAGCUAGAGAUCUUUUCAUCUUGAGUUCCAGUUUGUUCAUAUAAUACAGAAAGGCACUGACUUCAUUUGGAAUGUAGUUUUCUGAGCAGCUGCUCCGUCUCCGUGUCAUCCAGGGAGCCAGAGCUGGCCUGGAUGGACACCGUGUCUGUCUUCAUGCACACGUGAUCCCGCAGAAGACCCCCCCGGGAGCUGCGAAGCUGCUUCAGGUCAUCCCACUCCGAAUCGUCCCCAGACAGGAGGCAGAUUCCCUCGACGAUCUUGAUCUUCUCCUUGGUGUAGUUAUGGUCGGGCCCACCCUGGGGUGGAGAGUGGAGAUAGACAGUCAGUCCCUUACCUCUCUAGAAAGGAUCUCACAAUGAACUAAAAAACGGGGCCCUCGGGGCUUACUUGGCGUGGCAGGUACAGCAUCAUUGGAAUGUGCACAGCGGCCCAGCCUGGCAUCCCUCUCAGAGCACCUGUGGGUACAGGAAACUGAACAUGAAGAACAUCCCUCCCUGCUCUAGGGAAGGGCAGGAGGCUAUGAAAAGCAGUUUGGGGAGCAAGCUGGAAAUCUGCAGAGGGAAUACUAAAGACAUCAAUACUGUGCUCCCUUUCUUCUUUCUCUUUCCCUCAUACCAAGGAUUGAACCCAGGGUGCACUGAGCUACAUCCCCAGACCUUUUCUUUCUUUUUUUUGGGUACUGGGGAUCAAACUCCGGUCCUUCUGCUUGCGAGGGAGGCAGCGGAACCACUGAGCUAAAUCCCCGGCCCUCCAGCCCUUUUCUUUUCUUGUCUUCUCCUCUCUUCUUUUCUUUUCUUUAGACAGGGUCUUGAUAAGCUAAGUUGCUCAGGCUGGGCUCAAACUAGUGAUCCUCUUGCCUCAGCCUCCCAGAGUGCUGGGAUUACAGGCAUGCACCACCAUGCCCAGCUUUAAUACUAGGCUUUCUGAAAUAACCAGGAGAAGUAGGAAGCAGCCAAUAGCCAAGUAAAUCUGAUUGGCUAAGGAUUAUCACAAGGUCCAACUAUCACGAGGCAAAAAAAAAAAUGUUUUUCUUCCUUCACGCUUCCUCAAGGGAAUAUGCAAGACACCUGGACAGAGUGCUUGAAUAAGUAUCUCCAAAUGCUCAGAAGGCAACUUCAUUGGGGCAUAUUAUGAGCAGGCAGUUAAAGCCAUCUCCUAAAAGCCUGAAGAAAAAGCUACUUGCAAGAGCUAUGAGACCGAGCUGCACUGGCUCGUCACACAGAACUUGGACAAUAAGAAAAGGCCUGAGUAGGGCCCAUGGUUUUCUAAAUAAAGCCAGGGGCUUGGGGUGUAGCUCAGUGACACAGCACUUGCCUAGCAGGUGUGAGGCCCUGCAUCUGAUCCCCAGUACUGCAAAACAAUGAAACAAAACAAAUUUUUAAAGCCCAUAAAACAAAAACAAAACUCUAUUCAAUUAAUGAAAUAUAAUAUUUUCCACUGGCUUUGAGAACUCUUCUCUACUUGCUUAUUUAAAAUGGUGUUUGUGUGUAUGUAUGUGUGUGUGCUUGCACACGUGUGUUUGAUUGCUAGGGCCAUUACACCCCUUAGAAAAUCUUGCUCCAAGUCAUAAAGCUACAGCCUAGACCACUGGAGGACAGGUGCACAGACUAAACCUGUGAUGUGAGAACAGGUGUCCCAGAGACAGGAAGGAGGGAGAAUGCAUGUGGGAGACUCUUCCCAAGAGGUUUCUUUUGGAAGCUGUCCUGAAAGCCUCUCACUCUCAGAGAUAAAGAGGGAAUUGUUUGCCACAAUCCUCCAGCCUAAAGGGUGGGGCCCAGUGGUUAGUGAUGGGCUCUUCCUCCCCUCUGCCAGGAUUCACAAGCAGGGAUGAGCUUUCUGCUGGUGAGGUGGCGACUGGCAUCAAGGGGACCCCCAAUCCCAUACCGACCCUACUCACCUUCCUUCCACUUCCUCCAGGGCCGUACGGGUCCUGCUGGUAGAAGAGUGAAAGGUGGGGGGGCAGCGUGUUUCCGGAGCACUGGGGUAUUUUCACUCAUGCUGGUAGCCCUGGGAGCUGGGGGCACCAGACCAGGUACUGGAGAGAAAAGAGGAUUGGAGUGGGCCACGAGAGCCCGAACCUUUUCAUGUGGUCUAAGAGCAGUACCAGAGAACUUGGUGACGCAAUCUUUGAGGUGCCUUCAUCCCAGGCACCCUCAUUUAAUACUGUAAAUAGAAAGGAUGUGGAUUCACUGUGAAUAGUUGUGGGUGGGCCUACAAAGGUCAAAAAGAGAGAAUAAAGCAUUGAUGAACCCUACAGUGGUGCCCAGGAAUCAGGCAACUUGAAUUCCAUUUUGUUUUCUGAGACAGGGCCUUGCUAUGCACGUUCAGGCUGGCCUUGAAGUCACUAUUAGCCCAGGAUGGCCUCAAACUCUUGGUGAUCCUCCUGCCUCAGCCUCCCGAGUUGCUAGGAUUACAGGCAUGCGCCACAACACCCGGCAAGACUUGAAUUCUGUUCUAGGAAACACCAGAGCUCUGGCAAACCCAGAUCUGAGGGAUUCUGAACCCUAAACACCGCACUUUUGGUUACGCCUUCUGAAGGAGCACCCCACCGGGAAGGACAAAGUUGAGGCCACCAAUCCCCUGGCCUUCAAGGACCCUGCUGUUCUGGGGCCACACAGUCCCACUCACCCAGGGAGCAUGGCCUGCCAUCGGGCUCGCCAGGACAGGCACACCCGAAGUCCAAGGCUCUGGCAAAGCAGAGGUGGGUGCAGCCACCGCGUUGUUCACCCCACAGGCAUUGGUCCCUGGAAGCAAACCAGAUGAGCACCUGGGCCAGAACACAAUCAGAUCUCCCGAUUUAACACGACCCCACUUCCAGGGACAGCAGGGCAAGGAGCCACCCAGGACAGGGGGGAAAACGUGAGCCAACAGGCUCUCGGGUGGCCCCAGUGUCUUGGUCACCAGAUGUCCUCCGAGCGAGGUCAAGGAGGUGGGCUCAGAACCUGGGCCCACCUGUCUGCCGCUGAGGGGAGACCACGAUGAUGUCCAUGAGCCCCUCCACAUUGGCCAGCACCGUCUCCUUGCUGCGGCCCGAGUACUUGUCCACACGUUGGAUGGACUUAGUCUGCCAGUCUGUCCAGUAGAUCCACCUGUCCUGCUGCUCGGGGGGUCGCCAACAGGGGAAGUAGGAUUUGGCUGUCAGGCUCCAGGGCAGCCUCUGUGCCUGAGCAGGGCUAUCCCCUCUGCCCAAGGACAACCGUGUGUGCCUCGGAAAUGUCCCCAAACCCACACUCUUCACUGCCCCCACGGCAUGCCGAGCCGGACCUGGCAGUCAUUUCUGCACCUGAGUUUUCAUGUGCAAUGGGGACCUGGCUACAUGUCUGUCUGACUGUCCCUCCUGAUGGUGUUCUUCAAG